GACGAACGCUGGCGGCGUGCUUAACACAUGCAAGUCGAACGGAAAGGCCCUGCUUUUGUGGGGUGCUCGAGUGGCGAACGGGUGAGUAACACGUGAGUAACCUGCCCUUGACUUUGGGAUAACUUCAGGAAACUGGGGCUAAUACCGGAUAGGAGCUCCUGCUGCAUGGUGUGGGUUGGAAAGUUUCGGCGGUUGGGGAUGUACUCGCGGCUUAUCAGCUUGUUGGUGGGGUAGUGGCUUACCAAGGCUUUGACGGGUAGCCGGCCUGAGAGGGUGACCGGGCACAUUGGGACUGAGAUACGGACCAGACUCCUACGGGAGGCAGCAGUGGGGAAUAUUGCACAAUGGGCGGAAGCCUGAUGCAGCAACGCCGCGUGCGGGAUGACGGCCUUCGGGUUGUAAACCGCUUUCGCCUGUGACGAAGCGUGAGUGACGGUAAUGGGUAAAGAAGCACCGGCUAACUACGUG
RNAcentral lists this ribosomal RNA (468 nucleotides) under uncultured bacterium. RNAcentral's name for it is "partial 16S ribosomal RNA". It matches the Rfam family "Bacterial small subunit ribosomal RNA", at positions 28 to 507 of the family's 1533-position model. The record is from RNAcentral.